CAGGCUGCAACUCGCCUGCAUGAAGUUGGAAUUGCUAGUAAUCGCAGAUCAGCAUGCUGCGGUGAAUACGUUCCCGGGUCUUGUACACACCGCCCGUCACACCAUGGGAGCUGGUAACACCCGAAGUCAGUAGUCUAACCGCAAGGAGGACGCUGCCGAAGGUGGGAUUAGCGACUGGGGUGAAGUCGUAACAAGGUACC
RNAcentral lists this ribosomal RNA (200 nucleotides) under uncultured bacterium. RNAcentral describes it as "partial 16S ribosomal RNA". It matches the Rfam family "Bacterial small subunit ribosomal RNA", at positions 1301 to 1500 of the family's 1533-position model. The record is from RNAcentral.